GGACUACCCGGGUAUCUAAUCCCGUUUGCUACCCUAGCUUUCGCGCCUCAGCGUCAAGAGCAGGCCAGAAAGCCGCCUUCGCCACUGGUGUUCCUCCCGAUAUCUACGCAUUUCACCACUACACCGGGAAUUCCGCUUCCCUCUCCUGCCUUCGAGUCGAUCAGUAUCGAGUGACCCUCCCCAGUUGAGCCGGGGGCUUUCACACUCGACUUGAACGACCGCCUGCGCGCUCUUUACGCCCAGUAAAUCCGGACAACGCUAGCCACCUACGUAUUACCGCGGCGGCUGGCAC
RNAcentral lists this ribosomal RNA (292 nucleotides) under uncultured Acidobacteriota bacterium. RNAcentral describes it as "uncultured Acidobacteria bacterium partial 16S ribosomal RNA". The record is from RNAcentral. Lineage: Bacteria; Pseudomonadati; Acidobacteriota.